This 279-nucleotide non-coding RNA is filed under the name Theropithecus gelada (gelada). Its description in RNAcentral is "Eukaryotic small subunit ribosomal RNA". It matches the Rfam family "Eukaryotic small subunit ribosomal RNA", at positions 1198 to 1401 of the family's 1831-position model. The record is from Rfam by way of RNAcentral. Lineage: Eukaryota; Metazoa; Chordata; Mammalia; Primates; Cercopithecidae.
UCUCAACAUGGGAAACCUCAUUCAGCCUGGACACGGACAGGAUUGAUUGAUUGAUAGCUCUUUCUCGAUUCCGUGGGUGGUGGUGCAUGGCCGUUCUUAGUUGGUGGAGCGAUUUGUCUGGUUAAUUUUGAUAACAAACGAGACUUUGAAAUGCUAACUAGUAGAGACCGACUUUCACCAUGUUGGCCAGGCUAGUCUCGAACUUCUGACCUCAAGUGAUCCGCCCGUCUCAGCCUCCCAACGUGCUGGGAUUACAGGCAUGAGCCUUUGUGCCUGGCC